Molecule: long non-coding RNA, 285 nt
Filed under: Lathyrus oleraceus (garden pea)
Lineage: Eukaryota; Viridiplantae; Streptophyta; Magnoliopsida; Fabales; Fabaceae
Description: Pisum sativum (pea) long non-coding RNA (PSAT_LNC037092)
Source: RNAcentral
AAAAUUUUUAAGAAAACGGAAGAUGCAGAUGUUAUAAAUACUUUUGAUUCGUAAGUAAUGUAUCUAUGUAUUUCUUUGGUGUAGUUUAUCAUCACUAUAUGUGUUUUAAUCUAUUUCAAGAUUGGAAAAUUAAAGUAUAGAGACUAGUUGGUAAUUGUUUGGUUGAUUAAUUUAAUUUUAUGUAAUUUGAAAUGAAGGGACCCGAUGAGUAAGAUUCAGAAACAAAAAAGAAAAGGGAAGAAUAAUGAGAGAGAAAAUGGAAAAAAUCCAUAUUUUGCCAGAAAU